This is a non-coding RNA of Rhodococcus sp. MEB064, 73 nucleotides long. The record is from Rfam. Lineage: Bacteria; Bacillati; Actinomycetota; Actinomycetes; Mycobacteriales; Nocardiaceae.
GGGGCCUUAGCUCAGUUGGUAGAGCGCUGCCUUUGCAAGGCAGAUGUCAGGAGUUCGAAUCUCCUAGGCUCCA